AUGACCCCCACGCGCCCGCCGCCGCCGCCCCUCCCUCGAACGAAACUCAUGCGACAGGCGACUCUCGCAUGCCUCCCCCUCCCCGCGUCUCACUGGCGAAGAGGGAUACGUGCCAUGCCCAGCCGCCGCCCCGUGCGGUUGAUUCCAGACGCUGGGUCGCUGUAUUGCCGUAUUGGGAAGCAGUUCGCCGCUACACCGCAUGAGGAGGGCGACGCUUGGGCCGCCGCUGAGCCAGACGAGGUCUCCGUCCGGGUCUGCUGCCAAGCUUGUGGCCGGCCACUUGGCUCGCCGCCCGUCUCACCUUACAGCAAGCACCACUAG
This 321-nucleotide ribosomal RNA is filed under the name Triticum aestivum (bread wheat). RNAcentral's name for it is "partial small subunit ribosomal RNA". Lineage: Eukaryota; Viridiplantae; Streptophyta; Magnoliopsida; Poales; Poaceae. The record is from RNAcentral.